RNAcentral lists this long non-coding RNA (844 nucleotides) under Homo sapiens (human). RNAcentral describes it as "non-protein coding lnc-SPATA31A3-4:1". The record is from RNAcentral. Lineage: Eukaryota; Metazoa; Chordata; Mammalia; Primates; Hominidae.
AGUCGAAGAGGCUAAUUCCGGGCCUCUUAUAAAAAUAAGAAAGAAAAGCCUCGUUUCCUCUAGAUCAGAGAGAUGGCUUCUGGAUUCAUCUUUCCCUGCAAUCCAGCUUCUCCUCCUGGGGCCCUCAUAAUGGAGACUGGGAUCAUCAUCCAGGCUUUUGCACUGGGUUAGGAAUUUGGGAGUCAUCCUGGAUCCAUCUGCCCCUGUCAACCUUUCUCUGUCAACAGAUAUUUACUGGGCAUCUCCAACAGCCAGGCCCUGUUCAUGGUGCUGAAGAACAGCAUGUAUAAAACAACCCUGCCCUCACAGGGCGAUCACCAGUGACCUGUGGUGUGGAGUCUCCUUUUACCUCUGUCUCCUCCUUCCCACUGUCACCAUCCUUGGUCCUCCUCUGUCACCUGGAAUACUCCACUUGGUAACCAGCAUGAUCUUCUAACACUAGUUUUACCCUUGUCAGCACUUUGCCGAAAACCUCAAAUAAAGACUUUUUUUUUUUUUUUUUUGAGACGGAGUCUCGCUCUGUCGCCCAGGCCGGACUGCGGACUGCAGUGGCGCAAUCUCGGCUCACUGCAAGCUCCGCUUCCCGGGUUCACGCCAUUCUCCUGCCUCAGCCUCCCCAGUAGCUGGGACUACAGGCGCCCGCCACCGCGCCCGGCUAAUUUUUUGUAUUUUUAGUAGAGACGGGGUUUCACCUUGUUAGCCAGGAUGGUCUCGAUCUCCUGACCUCAUGAUCCACCCGCCUCGGCCUCCCAAAGUGCUGGGAUUACAGGCGUGAGCCACCGCGCCCGGCCAAAUAAAGACUUUUUUAAAAAUGUGCGAUGGAAAACUAAAGUUAUAAAUUAUA